Molecule: ribosomal RNA, 492 nt
Filed under: uncultured bacterium
Lineage: Bacteria
Description: partial 16S ribosomal RNA
Rfam family: Bacterial small subunit ribosomal RNA
Source: RNAcentral
AGUGAACGCUGGCGGUAGGCCUAACACAUGCAAGUCGAACGGCAGCACAGUAAGAGCUUGCUCUUACGGGUGGCGAGUGGCGGACGGGUGAGGUAUACAUCGGAAUCUACUUUUUCGUGGGGGAUAACGUAGGGAAACUUACGCUAAUACCGCAUACGACCUACGGGUGAAAGCAGGGGAUCUUCGGACCUUGCGCGAUUGAAUGAGCCGAUGUCGGAUUAGCUGGUUGGCGGGGUAAAGGCCCACCAAGGCGACGAUCCGUAGCUGGUCUGAGAGGAUGAUCAGCCACACUGGAACUGAGACACGGUCCAGACUCCUACGGGAGGCAGCAGUGGGGAAUAUUGGACAAUGGGCGCAAGCCUGAUCCAGCCAUACCGCGUGGGUGAAGAAGGCCUUCGGGUUGUAAAGCCCUUUUGUUGGGAAAGAAAAGCAGCAGGUUAAUACCCCGCUGUUCUGACGGUACCCAAAGAAUAAGCACCGGCUAACUUCGUG